This 400-nucleotide ribosomal RNA is filed under the name uncultured bacterium. Its description in RNAcentral is "bacterial SSU rRNA". It matches the Rfam family "Bacterial small subunit ribosomal RNA", at positions 355 to 772 of the family's 1533-position model. The record is from RNAcentral.
UGGGGAAUUUUGGACAAUGGGCGCAAGCCUGAUCUAGCCAUGCCGCGUGAGCGAUGAAGGCCUUAGGGUUGUAAAGCUCUUUCAGCGGGGAAGAUAAUGACAGUACCCGCAGAAGAAGCCCCGGCUAACUUCGUGCCAGCAGCCGCGGUAAUACGAAGGGGGCUAGCGUUGCUCGGAUUUACUGGGCGUAAAGCGCACGUAGGCGGAUCGUUAAGUCGGGGGUGAAAUCCUGGAGCUCAACUCCAGAACUGCCUUCGAUACUGGCGAUCUUGAGUCCGGAAGAGGUGAGUGGAACUCCUAGUGUAGAGGUGGAAUUCGUAGAUAUUAGGAAGAACACCAGUGGCGAAGGCGGCUCACUGGUCCGGUACUGACGCUGAGGUGCGAAAGCGUGGGGAGCAAA